RNAcentral lists this transfer RNA (72 nucleotides) under Chloroflexota bacterium. RNAcentral describes it as "Chloroflexi bacterium tRNA-Thr". It matches the Rfam family "tRNA". Rfam says of the family: Transfer RNA (tRNA) molecules are approximately 80 nucleotides in length. Their secondary structure includes four short double-helical elements and three loops (D, anti-codon, and T loops). The record is from RNAcentral. Lineage: Bacteria; Bacillati; Chloroflexota.
GCCGACCUAGCUCAAUGGCAGAGCAGUGGUUUUGUAAACCACCGGUUCCCGGUUCGAGCCCGGGGGUCGGCU